RNAcentral lists this ribosomal RNA (327 nucleotides) under uncultured eukaryote. Its description in RNAcentral is "partial 18S ribosomal RNA". It matches the Rfam family "Eukaryotic small subunit ribosomal RNA", at positions 1470 to 1796 of the family's 1831-position model. The record is from RNAcentral.
CCCCUAGAUGUUCUGGGCCGCACGCGCGCUACACUGAACAGUUCAACAAGUCUUAACCUUGGCCGAUAGGUCUGGGUAAUCUUUGAACGCUGUUCGUGAUUGGGAUAGACCUUUGCAAUUAUGGGUCUUCAACGAGGAAUUCCUAGUAAACGCAAGUCAUCAGCUUGCAUUGAUUACGUCCCUGCCCUUUGUACACACCGCCCGUCGCACCUACCGAUUGAACGAUUCGGUGAAAACUCCGGACUGUGGUUGCUCACCCUUUAUUGGGAGUGCUUCCGUGGGAAGUUGUGUGAACCUCAUCGUUUAGAGGAAGGUGAAGUCGUAACA